AGUGAACGCUGGCGGUAGGCCUAACACAUGCAAGUCGAACGGCAGCACAGUAAGAGCUUGCUCUUACGGGUGGCGAGUGGCGGACGGGUGAGGAAUACAUCGGAAUCUACUUUUUCGUGGGGGAUAACGUAGGAAAAUUACCGCUAAUCCCCAAUACACCCUCCGGGUAAAACAGGGGAUUUUUGGACCUUGCCGCGUUUAAUUGACCCGUUGCGGAUUUGUCUGUUGGGGGGGGAAAGGCCCCCCAAGGCCGACGUCCGUAAGGUGGUUUGGGGGGUGAACAGCCACACCGGAACUGAGACACGGGCCAGACUCCUACGGGAGGCAGCAGUGGGGAAUAUUGGACAAUGGGCGCAAGCCUGAUCCAGCCAUACCGCGUGGGUGAAGAAGGCCUUCGGGUUGUAAAGCCCUUUUGUUGGGAAAGAAAAGCAGCAGGUUAAUACCCCGCUGUUCUGACGGUACCCAAAGAAUAAGCACCGGCUAACUUCGUG
This 491-nucleotide ribosomal RNA is filed under the name uncultured bacterium. RNAcentral describes it as "partial 16S ribosomal RNA". It matches the Rfam family "Bacterial small subunit ribosomal RNA", at positions 29 to 507 of the family's 1533-position model. The record is from RNAcentral.